GAUCCUGGCUCAGGAUGAACGCUAGCUACAGGCUUAACACAUGCAAGUCGAGGGGUCAGCAUGGUCUUAGCUUGCUAAGACUGAUGGCGACCGGCGCACGGGUGAGUAACACGUAUCCAACCUGCCGUCUACUCUUGGACAGCCUUCUGAAAGGAAGAUUAAUACAAGAUGGCAUCAUGAGUCCGCAUGUUCAUAUGAUUAAAGGUAUUCCGGUAGACGAUGGGUA
This 226-nucleotide ribosomal RNA is filed under the name uncultured bacterium. RNAcentral describes it as "partial 16S ribosomal RNA". It matches the Rfam family "Bacterial small subunit ribosomal RNA", at positions 15 to 231 of the family's 1533-position model. The record is from RNAcentral.